RNAcentral lists this ribosomal RNA (466 nucleotides) under Euglandina rosea. Its description in RNAcentral is "partial 16S ribosomal RNA". It matches the Rfam family "Bacterial large subunit ribosomal RNA", at positions 1806 to 2610 of the family's 2925-position model. The record is from RNAcentral. Lineage: Eukaryota; Metazoa; Mollusca; Gastropoda; Stylommatophora; Spiraxidae.
AUCAAAAACAUAGCUUGGUGUACCUUUAUACUAGGUAAAUUCUGCUCAGUGAUUAAUUAAACAGCCGCAGUACACUGACUGUGCUAAGGUAGCAUAAUAAGUUGGCUUAUAAUUGAAGUCUAGUAUGAACGAAAUUUAAUGGGUAGAAACUGUCUCUUUAAUUUUUUACUGAAUUUACUUAGAUGGUGAAAAUUCCAUCUUAUAUAUAAGAAAGACGAGAAGACCCUUAGAAUUUUUAUUAAAGUGUGAAUUUCACAUUUUUGUAUUAGCUGGGGCGGCUUUGUAUCAGUUAACACACAAUUUAACUAUAUGACAAAUAAAUUUUAUUUUAUUAGGUUAAUUACCUAAGGGAUAACAGCAUAAUCUUUUUUUUGGUUUGUGACCUCGAUGUUGGAUUAGGAUCUACUUUGGUUAGCCGCCAAAGCAGAAAGUUCUGUUCGAACUGUAUCACCUACAUGAUCUGAGU